GUCCUCUUGAUUAUAUUUUGAGGUCUGGCCUGCUCACUGACAAGGUUUUAAAGAGCCGCGGUAUUUUGACCGUGCAAAGGUAGCAUAAUCAUUAGUCUCUUAAUUAGGGGCUGGAAUGAAUGGCUUGACGAGAAAUCAACUGUCUCUUAAUAAUUUUUAAAAUUUAACUUUUGAGUCAAAAGGCUUAAAUUUUUCUUUAGGACGAGAAGACCCUAUAGAGCUUAACAUUUUAUUUUUAUAUAGUUUUUAGUUGAUCUUUCUAUAUUUAAUGAUAAUGUUUUGUUGGGGUGACAUGAAGAAUAAUUAAACUCUUCAUUAUAAAAUCAUUGAUUUAUGUUUAUCAUGAUCCAUAAUUUAUGAUCAUAAGAUUAAGUUACCUUAGGGAUAACAGCGUAAUUGUUUUCGAGAGCUCAUAUCGACAAAGCAGAUUGCGACCUCGAUGUUGGAUUAAGAAAAAUUUUGGGUGCAGGAGCCCAAUAAUUAGGUCUGUUCGACCUUUAAAUUCUUACA
RNAcentral lists this ribosomal RNA (510 nucleotides) under Calliptamus barbarus. RNAcentral's name for it is "partial large subunit ribosomal RNA". It matches the Rfam family "Bacterial large subunit ribosomal RNA", at positions 1830 to 2600 of the family's 2925-position model. The record is from RNAcentral. Lineage: Eukaryota; Metazoa; Arthropoda; Insecta; Orthoptera; Acrididae.